CAAUCAAAACCAAACAAAAUGCCACAUCAUCAUCUACUCACAGAAACUUAUAUUAAUCCAAGUUGGUUCACAGAAAAAAUCUAGCAAAGUGAGUUUUCAGGAGUGAAAGUUGGGUCUUCAUAGAACAUACACUUUGACCACACUUGAUUUUCACUGCCUGAAGAUAUUACUGACGGUCUUCGUUGGUGAGGGGGUCAUUGACGGUGAUCAUCGAGUGCUUGACGUUGGAGGAUUCGAAUGACAAGGGCUAUUAUAAUUCGUCGGUUCAAAUGACAGACAGGAGUUAGUUCGCCAAAUGCUUUCGGUCUUCGUCUCCAAUGAACUUCAUCACGGUAAUCGUCAAUUGAGUAAGCUCUGGACGGUUCAGUGAAUGAGAGAGGAGAGGGUUUCAUACGUUUGGGCCUAAUGUAAGA
Molecule: long non-coding RNA, 413 nt
Filed under: Olea europaea (common olive)
Lineage: Eukaryota; Viridiplantae; Streptophyta; Magnoliopsida; Lamiales; Oleaceae
Description: long non-coding RNA (OEUR_LNC013700)
Source: RNAcentral